GAUGAACGCUGGCGGCGUGCCUAAUACAUGCAAGUCGAGCGAACGGACGAGAAGCUUGCUUUUCUGAUGUUAGCGGCGGACGGGUGAGUAACACGUGGAUAACCUACCUAUAAGACUGGGAUAACUUCGGGAAACCGGAGCUAAUACCGGAUAAUAUUUUGAACCGCAUGGUUCAAAAGUGAAAGACGGUCUUGCUGUCACUUAUAGCUGGAUCCGCGCUGCAUUAGCUAGUUGGUAAGGUAACGGCUUACCAAGGCAACGAUGCAUAGCCGACCUGAGAGGGUGAUCGGCCACACGGGAACUGAGACACGGUCCAGACUCCUACGGGAGGCAGCAGUAGGGAAUCUUCCGCAAUGGGCGAAAGCCUGACGGAGCAACGCCGCGUGAGUGAUGAAGGUCUUCGGAUCGUAAAACUCUGUUAUUAGGGAAGAACAUAUGUGUAAGUAACUGUGCACAUCUUGACGGUACCUAAUCAGAAAGCCACGGCUAACUACGUG
RNAcentral lists this ribosomal RNA (497 nucleotides) under uncultured bacterium. Its description in RNAcentral is "partial 16S ribosomal RNA". It matches the Rfam family "Bacterial small subunit ribosomal RNA", at positions 28 to 507 of the family's 1533-position model. The record is from RNAcentral.